AGCACAGGUUGGAAGACAUCCGACUGGCUGGGUGGUGGCCAGGUUGAUUUACUCCUCUUUGGAUGAGGAAUAAAAGAGCUUGUGGUGAAGCUGGCAUCUGAAUUUCACAAUCAGGCCAUACAAUCAAUCUUCAGGCUGUGGAUUGCAGGAAGAAAAGACUAAUGAUUUGAUGAGUCUCUAAGAGCAAGUACCAGCAGAUGUUGGCCCAAUGCUUCCCAUGGAUGGACCAGGUGCUACUUAAGGAGGUUCGCUUUCCUUUCUGCAGAUUCCCUUCAUACCAGCUCCACCACUUUCUUCAGAUGAGGAAAAGAGUAGUGUUCCUCACUGAUGUUCCCAGACUGGCACAGCUGGUGAAAGUCAGAGCUGUGACUUCACACUUGAGCAUCUGUUCAGAUGCUUUGACCAGGUGGAUUUCGUUAAUCUCUUGGAGUGCUUUUGCGAUUGCUGACUCUUUCUCUAAAGCUGACCAAACCUUGGAUUAUAUUUAACCAGUAAAAAGAGCCAGGGAAGCAUCUGCUCAAGCUAUCAAGCAAUCAGCCCAAAGUCCAGGAGAGGAGCUAUAGAAGGAGACCCUGUACUCUGAAAGACUCCAUUGGACUCAUCAUGACUGAGGCCUCUCUCUACAGAGAAUCUAUUUCAUUGCUUUCCUUUUGCUUUCAAAUAAACUUGCUCUGUCUGC
Long non-coding RNA from Dipodomys ordii (Ord's kangaroo rat), 679 nucleotides. RefSeq lists it as uncharacterized. NCBI's taxonomy places the organism in Eukaryota, Metazoa, Chordata, Mammalia, Rodentia, Heteromyidae. The record is from RefSeq and is a predicted model, not a curated record. The transcript is spliced from 3 exons.